Molecule: non-coding RNA, 212 nt
Organism: Paramuricea clavata
Lineage: Eukaryota; Metazoa; Cnidaria; Anthozoa; Malacalcyonacea; Plexauridae
Source: the annotation of a GenBank genome assembly
CGCUGCUUUGAUAUAUUUAAAUAAGUCUUAAAAGUUUUAUGCCUGGGUGUGCUGUGCGGAACGCUUCAGCGAGAGAGCCUAGCAGAUUUCGGUAAAAUGGUCCCUGAUUUCAAAAAAGUGGUCCCUGGCCUGGUUACCAAGCAUACCGCAUUUUUAAAUAGGAAAUGUUAUGGAAAUUUCCUUUGUGUUUAUAAUUAAGUCAUUAGUUUUGC